CAAUCCCUUCGGGAUGAAUUAAGUGGAACGAGCGGCGGACGGGUGAGUAACACGUGGGCAACCUACCUAUAAGACUGGGAUAACUCGCGGAAACGUGAGCUAAUACCGGAUAAUACUUUUUAUUGCAUAAUAAGAAGUUUGAAAGGCGGCGUAAGCUGUCACUUAUAGAUGGGCCCGCGGCGCAUUAGCUAGUUGGUGAGGUAAAGGCUCACCAAGGCAACGAUGCGUAGCCGACCUGAGAGGGUGAUCGGCCACACUGGGACUGAGACACGGCCCAGACUCCUACGGGAGGCAGCAGUAGGGAAUCUUCCGCAAUGGACGAAAGUCUGACGGAGCAACGCCGCGUGAGUGAAGAAGGUUUUCGGAUCGUAAAACUCUGUUGUUAGGGAAGAACAAGUCAGGUAGUAACUGACCUGACCUUGACGGUACCUAACCAGAAAGCCACGGCUAACUACGUGCCAGCAGCCGCGGUAAUACGUAGGUGGCAAGCGUUGUCCGGAUUUAUUGGGCGUAAAGCGCUCGCAGGCGGUCUUUUAAGUCUGAUGUGAAAGCCCACGGCUUAACCGUGGAGGGUCAUUGGAAACUGGAGGACUUGAGUGCAGAAGAGGAGAGUGGAAUUCCAUGUGUAGCGGUGAAAUGCGUAGAGAUAUGGAGGAACACCAGUGGCGAAGGCGACUCUCUGGUCUGUAACUGACGCUGA
Molecule: ribosomal RNA, 700 nt
Filed under: Virgibacillus sp. ASBCFS20
Lineage: Bacteria; Bacillati; Bacillota; Bacilli; Caryophanales; Bacillaceae
Description: bacterial SSU rRNA
Rfam family: Bacterial small subunit ribosomal RNA
Source: RNAcentral